RNAcentral lists this ribosomal RNA (397 nucleotides) under uncultured Massilia sp. RNAcentral describes it as "partial 16S ribosomal RNA". Lineage: Bacteria; Pseudomonadati; Pseudomonadota; Betaproteobacteria; Burkholderiales; Oxalobacteraceae. The record is from RNAcentral.
CACGUAGUUAGCCGGUGCUUAUUCUUCAGGUACCGUCAUUAGGAAUGGAUAUUAGCCACUCCCGUUUCUUCCCUGACAAAAGAGCUUUACAACCCGAAGGCCUUCUUCACUCACGCGGCAUUGCUGGAUCAGGCUUGCGCCCAUUAUCCAAAAUUCCCCACUGCUGCCUCCCGUAGGAGUCUGGACCGUGUCUCAGUUCCAGUGUGGCUGGUCGUCCUCUCAGACCAGCUACUGAUCGUCGCCUUGGUGAGCCUUUACCUCACCAACUAGCUAAUCAGAUGUCGGCCGCUCCAGGAGCACAAGGUCCGAAGAUCCCCUGCUUUCAUCCUUAGAUCGUAUGCGGUAUUAGCGUAACUUUCGCUACGUUAUCCCCACUCUUGGGCUCGUACAUAUACUC